AGUCUGGUGCCAGCAGCCGCGGUAAUUCCAGCUCCAAUAGCGUAUAUUAAAGUUGUUGCAGUUAAAAAGCUCGUAGUUGGAUUUCUGGACUGAGAUGCCUGGCCCGUCCUCGUCAGAGGCGCGUGUGCUGGAGUGUUUCUUCCAUACUUCUAGAGAGCAGCGUUGCACUUAACUGUGUAGCGUUUGUCAUCUAGAUCUUUUACUUUGAAGAAAUUAGAGUGUUUAAAGCAGGCUUGCGCUAUGAAUACAUUAGCAUGGAAUAAUAAUUUAGGACUUUGUUUCUAUUUUGUUGGUUUCUAGAGGCGAAGUAAUGAUUGAUAGGGACAGUUGGGGGUGCUAGUAUUCAGCGGCCAGAGGUGAAAUUCUUGGAUUCGCUGAAGACUAACUUAUGCGAAAGCAUUCACCAAGGAUGUCUUCUUUAAUCAAGAACGAAAGUUGGGGGAUCGAAGACGAUCAGAUACCGUCGUAGUCUCAACUAUAAACGAUACCGACUAGGGAUUAGUGGAAGUUGCUUAUUCGACUCCAUUAGCACCUUAUGAGAAAUCAAAGUCUUUGGGUUCCGGGGGGAGUAUGGUCGCGAGGCUGAAACUUAAAGGAAUUGACGGAAGGGCACCACCAGGAGUGGAGCCUGCGGCUUAAUUUGACCCAACACGGGGAAACUUACCAGGUCCAGACAUAGUGAGGAUUGACAGAUUGAAGUUCUUUCUUGAUUCUAUGGGUAGUGGUGCAUGGCCGUUCUUAGUUGGUGGAGUGAUUUGUCUGGUUAAUUCCGUUAACGAACGAGACCUCGACCUACUAAAUAGUUUGGCGUACCUUCGGGUACGUACGCACUUCUUAGAGGGACUGUCGGUUUUUAGCCGAAGGAAGUUCGAGGCAAUAACAGGUCUGUGAUGCCCUUAGAUGUUCUGGGCCGCACGCGCGCUACACUGAUACGUUCAUCGAGCAUACAACCUUGGCUGAGAGGCCUGGGUAAUCUUUUCAAAGCGUAUCGUGCUGGGGAUAGAUCAUUGUAAUUAUUGAUCUUCAACGAGGAAUUCCUAGUAAACGCGAGUCAUCAACUCGCAUUGAUUACGUCCCUGCCCUUUGUACACACCGCCCGUCGCUGCUACCGAUUGAAUGGAUUAGUGAGCCUCAGGAAUCGCCUAGCUGAUGGGCAACUGUCGGCUAGGUGAGAACUGCUGCAAACUUGCUCAUUUAGAGGAAGCAAAAGUCGUAACAAGGUAUCCGUAGGUGAACCUGCGGAUG
RNAcentral lists this ribosomal RNA (1245 nucleotides) under metagenome. RNAcentral describes it as "SSU rRNA". It matches the Rfam family "Eukaryotic small subunit ribosomal RNA", at positions 558 to 1823 of the family's 1831-position model. The record is from RNAcentral.